UGGGGAAUAUUGGACAAUGGGCGCAAGCCUGAUCCAGCCAUGCCGCGUGAGUGAUGAAGGCCCUAGGGUUGUAAAGCUCUUUUACCCGCGAAGAUAAUGACGGUAGCGGGAGAAUAAGCUCCGGCUAACUCCGUGCCAGCAGCCGCGGUAAUACAGAGGGUGCAAACGUUGUUCGGAAUUACUGGGCGUAAAGCGCGUGUAGGCGGUUCGUUAAGUCGACUGUGAAAGCCCAUGGCUCAACCAUGGAAGUGCAGUCGAUACUGGCAGACUGGAGUCCCGGAGAGGGUGGUGGAAUUCCCAGUGUAGAGGUGAAAUUCGUAGAUAUUGGGAGGAACACCGGUGGCGAAGGCGACCACCUGGACGGGUACUGACGCUGAGACGCGAAAGCGUGGGGAGCAAACAGGAUUAGAUACCCCCGUAGUCC
Molecule: ribosomal RNA, 424 nt
Filed under: uncultured prokaryote
Description: bacterial SSU rRNA
Rfam family: Bacterial small subunit ribosomal RNA
Source: RNAcentral